GACGAACGCUGGCGGCGUGCUUAACACAUGCAAGUCGAACGAACAGGCCCUGCUUUUGUGGGGUGCUCGAGUGGCGAACGGGGGAGUAACACGUGAGUGACCUGCCCUUGUCUUUGGGAUAACUUCAGGAAACUGGGGCUAAUACAGGGUAGGAGCUCCUGCUGCGUGGUGGGGGUUGGAGAGUUUCGGCGGUUUGGGCUGGACUCGAGGCUUAUCGGCUGGUUUGGGGGGUAGUGGCUGACCAGGGCUGUGAAGGGUAGCCCACCUUGGAGGGUGGACGGCCACAAGGGGACUGCGGGACGGCCCAGUAGCCUACCUGAGGCAGCAGGCGGGAAUAUUGCACAACGGGCGGAAGCCAGAUGCAGCAACGCCGCGUGCGGGAUGACGGCUUAUGGGUUGUAAACCGCUGUCGCCGGAGACGAAGCGUGAGUGACGGUAAUGGGUAAAGAAGCACCGGCUAACUACGUG
This 468-nucleotide ribosomal RNA is filed under the name uncultured bacterium. Its description in RNAcentral is "partial 16S ribosomal RNA". It matches the Rfam family "Bacterial small subunit ribosomal RNA", at positions 28 to 507 of the family's 1533-position model. The record is from RNAcentral.